Magnolia sinica is the source of this 260-nucleotide long non-coding RNA. RefSeq lists it as uncharacterized. The transcript is spliced from 3 exons. Lineage: Eukaryota; Viridiplantae; Streptophyta; Magnoliopsida; Magnoliales; Magnoliaceae. The record is from RefSeq and is a predicted model, not a curated record.
AUGUGUUGGUGUUAUUUUAUUUUGGUUUGCAGGUGAAUCUUGCCUUCUGCUAAACUGGUGAACCCUGAACUUGUGGCGCGGUCAGAACCAGUUGCUGAGUUGCUUGAUUUGGAUCUGAAAGAGGGUUGUCGGCUGGAUUGCUUAGGCAAGCUACAUACACAAUAGCACGACUUGGGUCAUUUAGUGGUCAACUUAUUUCAAAUAUUAAUGAUGCAUUUUGACAACGUAAUGGAUUCUGUGGUGCAUUAAAUGCUUCCAUA